Molecule: ribosomal RNA, 320 nt
Filed under: uncultured eukaryote
Lineage: Eukaryota
Description: partial 18S ribosomal RNA
Rfam family: Eukaryotic small subunit ribosomal RNA
Source: RNAcentral
CCCCUAGAUGUUCUGGGCCGCACGCGCGCUACACUGAACAGUUCAACAAGUCUUAACCUUGGCCGAUAGGUCUGGGUAAUCUUUGAACGCUGUUCGUGAUUGGGAUAGAUCAUUGCAAUUAUUGAUCUUCAACGAGGAAUUCCUAGUAAGCGCAAGUCAUCAGCUUGCGUUGAUUACGUCCCUGCCCUUUGUACACACCGCCCGUCGCUUGUACCGAUUGGAUGGUCCGGUGAAAUCUUCGGAUAGCUGGUAGUUGGCUUGCCAUCUACUGCUAAAAGUUGCUUAAACCUUAUCAUCUAGAGGAACAAGAAGUCGUAACA